Long non-coding RNA from Rhipicephalus sanguineus (brown dog tick), 1488 nucleotides. RefSeq lists it as uncharacterized. NCBI's taxonomy places the organism in Eukaryota, Metazoa, Arthropoda, Arachnida, Ixodida, Ixodidae. The record is from RefSeq and is a predicted model, not a curated record. The transcript has 3 exons.
UCAACAUAAUGUACAGUACUCACGGAUUCAACCGCGACAUCAAAAUUUAGUAUAUAUCGGCGUGUAUGCGCAAUUGCUCGAGAUAACCACAUCAUGUCGCGACGAAUCUGGUCUCUAAAGGUAAUGUUGGCUCUGAUCUACACGUUUGAGUCGAAAUCGCACCGAUAUGGCCUAAACUGAAGACUGUAGAAACGAAAACUUGUGCAUUUCUUAGCCCUAAAUUGUCCUAUUUUAAUCCAUGAGUACUGUACAUGUACAAAAAAAUAAAUAACACAUGUAUGCCGUCCAUUCGGGACGUAAAGCCCCAGCAGUUAUUACUAAUACAUGUGUUCCGCGGCAAGGAGCCAGCUCUCGUUCUCAGGUUGAUAUCUCUAAGCCUUUCGUAACAAGACAUUGACACAAUUUUCGCUACAGGUGGAAAAUUUACACUCGUGAUGCAAGCACAUAGUCGCUGAUGUUGAUUUUUCGCUCUUGUUAAUUGAUCGGUACUACUGGAGGGAUCUUACUUCGAGUUUUUGUGGUCACAAGGCAGAAGUUGGUUGAAAAUUGCAUGAUGAUUUUGGUGAUCCGAAGAAAAAUAUUUAUCGUAGUAUCUUCGAAGUUGCUGAAUUUACGCUUAUAAAAUGCAAAAAAAUAAUCUCAAUGCGACGAUCAAAAACCCGGCCAACAAUGGCUGGACAUAGGGGCGGACUGGCAACUGGUCCACUGUCGAAUAAAACGGUCGGGCCGGUUUAAAACCGUAGAAGUGGCGACCCUAGUAAGGCAUCGUCAUUGCUGCAGACUGAGAAUUGCUGAUACUGUACAAUGGACCAGCAUGGCCUGCUGUCGCACGAAAUGAAAGUAUAGCCGCGUACUGUGACUCGCUGGUUACAUGCUGAAAUGGCUUUGUAAGGCUGCUUCCUCUGCCUCUCUGUCUUCACACAAUCUGCAAAAUUUAGAUGUGCAUAGUUUACAUCCAGCUCGCUUUGACUCUAUUGGAAGUGUUUUGAUGUGUAUUACUGUAGCAGGAAGAUUAAGUGAACGGCAAAUAAUUAGAGGUGUUGCAAGCGUAUGUUGCCAAUGUGUUCUUUUUGCCUCUUGAGAGAAAGGACGCUGCUAGCAUAAGAGGUGGAAAGGUCACUCUUUGGUACGCUAGUCUAUGCUUGGAUAAAUGGGGACAGAAGGGAUAUUGAAAAGGCACUAAUCGUCUCCAAGUAAGUGUAAUGCGAGGGUUUAUUGGUCAGCUGCCGUCCCGUGCAAAGAUCAUAUGAUGCCUUCUGGCAAAAAGAGUUUCUACACUUGCCGCCUUGGAUAUGAGUGGCGCUGGCUAACGUUCCCAGGGAGGGAUUACACAUAUAGAAAUAGCCAAUGAAGUGGAUGAGCAACAACCUUCUGUUGUUGCUCAAUCAGUAGAGCACCAGACACUUAAUUUAAAGGUUGUGGAUUGUGAUCCCACCAACAGAAAGUGUGAUUUCUUUAUCCUGUUAAUUCAUUUCAAUUUGUCAUAAU